UGUAGGGUAUUUAUUUGUACUGCUAAUAAUAGUGUAUUAUUGAUAUUUCUCACAGUUGUUAUUGUAAUAUUGCUAAGUAAUUCAGUCAAGUUAUUGUGAUUUAAUGUUCAAGUUACUGCUUAACGACCCUUGAGGACACAACGUCAAAAAACCGUACUUCUUUGUAUUGUGCAUCUGUUCGUACUGAAGUAUUGUUGUUCGUACUGUGUAUCUGUUCAUAUUGCAGUACUGCAUCUGUUCGUAUUGUUUUACACUGUUUGCAACACAUCACAAGAAAAUAAAACAUCUUAUGCUGA
Non-coding RNA from Styela clava, 296 nucleotides. NCBI's taxonomy places the organism in Eukaryota, Metazoa, Chordata, Ascidiacea, Stolidobranchia, Styelidae. The record is from RefSeq and is a predicted model, not a curated record.